AAAGAAGUCCGGUCGUGUUAUACUAUAUAUAGGGACAGCUCACUUGCGAUUUCAUAAGGACGUAAGUUUACAACAGUCGAAGAUGAACUCCUUCCUUCUGAUGUGUGUAUUCCUGACGCUGAGUCUGCUUCUUAUAACCACAGUAGCCGCUUCCACCACUCCAGGAGGGAACACCGCAGCUGCGUUGUCAAUGGAUGUCGCCACAUGUCUGGUAGCUGCUGUGCUUACCCUGUGGAGAACUCUCAUGUAGAAGCCAUCUCGUCAUGAGAGAUCAAUCCGAUUGAUGUACCUGUAUUACACGGGCCUAUAAAACAGACAAACAUUGAUAGCAUGGUACUGAAAAAUAAAUUGAAUUUAAAUAAUUACAAUAUCUAGGACGGUUGAAGCCUAAUUUUAAGGCGAUGAUGCCGAAUGCGAAAUAUGAAAAAGUACUCGUAUUCUUUAUGACGAGAAUUAUAACUAAGAUAAAGCAUUCACAUAUUACAUACCUGUUACUGUUUGAGUUUUGCUUUUAAUAUUUUUGCUGCUAAUGUAGUUGUUUAGUUCCUUUUCAAACUCAGAUUACUCAAUACGACGAUUUUCUUAUGUGCCUAUACUCGUCUGAAUAUGUCGACUUAAAAAACAGUUUCAGUAAGAAAAAUAUACAAUGAACAAGGUAUAUUAAGACUUAACAAUGCAAUGAACACUCAAGAUGACAUUUCGAUCGAACAUGCAUGACAUGCCAUUGUGUUAAAGCCUUAGUCAAGCUCAGAAAAUGAUUCUUUCUUUUGUAUUAACGUUCUAUGUACAUUUUACUGUAAAUAUAACACGUGUUUACCAGCGGAAAAACUAUUAACGUACAAAUGCGUACAUAUUGCUCAUUUCAGUUUCGAAACAUAUGGUAAAAUAUCAGAAAAUACAGUACGUUCGAAAGGUUUUUGUUUUUGUUGUUUUUAUUGCAAAAUGGUCGGGCCCAUUUAUACUGAAUAAAAUAUCAUUAUUGCCUUAGCGUAGUACCUUGGAAGAUUGCGCGCUUGGGUACGAUUUAUAUGAUGCUUUAAAUAUUUUCUUGAAAUAAUCGGUUGGUGUCGUAAUUGUUUGAAUGAAGGCUUGAAUGAAAUUUUUAAGAAUAUUGAAAGUUGAAGAUUCAUUAUUAUUUAUAUAAGUAUCAAAAAGAAAUAUCGGCUUCUGAAUCGCCUAUUAAAGACGCCAAUUACGACAAACAGUUUAAUUAUGUGUGUUUCCUCGAAAACUCAAUAGACCUUAUGUAAACGAAAAAGCAAAGCAGCGUCCAGAGAUCUUGAUGUUGGAGACAUUUCCUUCUGUUAUAUUAAACCAACGAACCAACCAACUUUGUACCAUAACACUUAAUUAAACAAACGUGUGACCUAAAGAGACCUUGUGUUACCAGCGUCGAAUUUACGUAACUCGAUAAUUAAAGUUUAAAACAAAAUAUAUAAUUAAGAUAAAAAAAGUGUAUUAUCCGUUAUAAGCUCUGUUUCCAAAUAGACGUGAUUGUUUACAUCAUAUCAAAGUUGUAUGCCGAUUAGAUUGACGUUGUUUGCGUUAAACAAACAAAAAAUAUUUCAACAAACAUUUAUUCUUAAACGGAAAGUUUCCCUUCUUGAACCAGAGUACAUGUUAAAAUUUACUCAAUACACUACCACAAAGGGUAAGUUAGCAGCUGACGCCCUAUAGGCUAGGGAUAUCAACGAACCUAGCAGCAGUAGAAACUUCUAUUGAAUGGCAUCCAUGAUAAGAUAUCGGUGUUUGGCUUUACUUGUCACAAGUGAGUACCUUGGACGAUUAUUAACAUUCACUAUAUAAAGGAACUGUGUAGUGGUUCUUGUGUCUCAAAUAUCAGGGUGUGAUUUAUUUGAUACUGUUGUUCGCUGGAGCCAAUUUGUCAAGAUUAACAGUCAUGCCGACUGAGUGUACCCUUAACCUAACAUGCCAUCGUUAUCGACGGUGUUUUGUCCACCGUUAUCCACGUGAAAUAAAUCAAAGAUAAAAACAAGAUUGCGGCAUAUUGUAUAUAAAGAGUCAUUGAACCGCAGACCGCAGAUUCAGAUCUUCAGCCAUUAAAGGUAAGAUUUUUAAAGUCAUUUUGUACACAGGCAGCAAUAUACUUACUUUUAGACGAAGAAUACUAUGAUCUUGACUAAAUGAAACUGCACCGCGAAUUGAAAUAAGUUAACAUUAUGUGUGUCUUGUUCUGAGAAAACUGGGCAUAAUGCAUGUGCGUAAAGUGUCGUCCCAGAUUAGCCUGUGCAGUCCGCACAGGAUAAUCAGAGACGCCUCUUUCCGCUUAAACUAGAUUUUCGGUCAAAAGGGACUUCUUUUAAACGAAAAAUACCAUUUAAGCGAUGAUGAUACAAGAUAGGAAAGUUCGACCGCGGUUUAUUAUUUCUGAUAAACAUAUACAUUCAUAUUAAUUAUUCAACCACAUUUCAAAACAUAAGUCUAUGGCAAUUAAUUGGGAUAGAAAUCUACAUUGAAUGUGUUUUCAAAUUAUUAACUGAUUUGCCAUAAACCCCAAUUUGAACUUUGCAGAUGAAGCUGUACAUUUUGCUUGUUGUCCUUCUGACUCUAAGUCUGCAGUUGAGCGAUUCCGACGCAGCUACAAGUGCCCCUAGCGGUGGCAGUGGCGGUGGCAGUGGCGGUGGCGGCGGCAGUGGCGGAAAUGGCGGAAACUCCGUUUCUGCAUCGACAGUGUCUUACCUUGCAUGUCUCCUGACGGCCAUGCUAACUACGGGGAAAUUAUACGUGUAAAUUCUGGAACUUAUGAGAGCGAUCAAAAUACUCAAUGUGGUUUGCAUAAACUGCUAAUAUAUGAGUAAUUUGUUCUAUACAUGUAACCUAGCUCUCGUUGUGUAAAAACAAAGCGUCAUUUAAAGCAAAAUCUGCCAAAAAAUGAAGGCUGAAACCGGAUAUGCGGUGAUGAUGCCAGAGUACUGCAGAAAAAAUGUACGAGUUUUUAUAAAGAUUAAAGGGUUGUUGUAUCAUUAAAUUGUGUAAUAGUAUGACGAAUAAAAAUACGCAUCAUUCAUUUAUGUUCAUGAUCUCUGGUAUAAAACAGGUAUGCACAUAUAAGUUGACUCAUAAUUACACAAGCAACUGUUAUACGUUUUUGCAACAUGUGCAGAUCUUUCGGACUGGUGGAAACUAUGUGCCUGUUAUAAUGUAUAGUACAAGUCAUAUUGCUAUUUCGAUCAGUUACUUCGUCCGGUUCAAUCGGUCGCUAUGAUAUAUCUACACGAGAACAAUCCGACACGCAGGUGAUGUCAUAAUUAAUUUUAUUUUAUCGAUUUCAAAACUAAGUUAAAUGUUCCAAUGUCAUCGAACGCCACCUUGAAUAUGUUAUAUGAAACUGUACAUGUCUUGGUCAAUUUAAAAUGAAGGAAGCAGAAGCCAAAAGUGAAAAGCCUAUCGCAUUAUUUUGGCCAUGCGUAGGACAACGCUGUAUGGCCAAAUACUGAUGAUGUGGCAGUGACUAUUGUAAUUACUUUGUUGAUGUUUUUCAAUAAUCCUUUUAUGAAACGAUUUUUGUGAAGCGUUCUCCAUUAUGAUUGAAAAUAGAAACAAUCAUAUCAUU
This is a long non-coding RNA of Dreissena polymorpha, 3574 nucleotides long. RefSeq lists it as uncharacterized. The record is from RefSeq and is a predicted model, not a curated record. Lineage: Eukaryota; Metazoa; Mollusca; Bivalvia; Myida; Dreissenidae. The transcript has 6 exons.